Molecule: ribosomal RNA, 844 nt
Filed under: Jahnula dianchia
Lineage: Eukaryota; Fungi; Ascomycota; Dothideomycetes; Jahnulales; Aliquandostipitaceae
Description: partial large subunit ribosomal RNA
Rfam family: Eukaryotic large subunit ribosomal RNA
Source: RNAcentral
AUUUGAAAUCUGGUCCCUCUGGGGGCCCGAGUUGUAAUCUGUAGGGGAUGCUUCGGAGUUGAACCCGGCCUAAGUUCCUUGGAACAGGACGUCGCAGAGGGUGAGAAUCCCGUACGCGGCCGGUGGGCGUCUCCGUGCGAAGCUCCUCCAACGAGUCGAGUUGUUUGGGAAUGCAGCUCUAAAUGGGAGGUAAAUUUCUUCUAAAGCUAAAUACCGGCCAGAGACCGAUAGCGCACAAGUAGAGUGAUCGAAAGAUGAAAAGCACUUUGGAAAGAGAGUUAAAAAGUACGUGAAAUUGUUGAAAGGGAAGCGCUUGCACCCAGACUCGGCCGCUUCGGUUCAACCCUACCCGCGUAGGGCUCACUCCGUUGCGGUCGGGCCAGCAUCGGUUCGGGCGGUUGUUUAAAGGCGCGGGGAAUGUGGCUCCUCUCGGGGAGUGUUAUAGCCCCGCGUGCAAUGCGACCUGCCUGGACCGAGGACCGCGCCUUGGCAAGGAUGCUGGCUUAAUGGUUGUAAGCGGCCCGUCUUGAAACACGGACCAAGGAGUCUAACAUCUAUGCGAGUGUUCGGGUGUCAAACCCCUACGCGCAAUGAAAGUGAACGGAGGUCGGAGCCCUCGGGCGCACGAUCGACCGAUCCUGAUGUCUUCGGAUGGAUUUGAGUAAGAGCAUAAAUGUUGGGACCCGAAAGAUGUGCGAACUAUGCUUGAGUAGGCCGAAGCCAGCGGAAACGCUGGUGGAGGGUCGCAGCGGUUCUGACGUGCAAAUCGAUCGUCAAACUUGAGUAUAGGGGCGAAAGACUAAUCGAGCCAUCUAGUAGCUGGUUCCUGCCGAAGUUUCCCUUA